RNAcentral lists this ribosomal RNA (386 nucleotides) under Salmonella enterica subsp. enterica serovar Thompson. Its description in RNAcentral is "bacterial SSU rRNA". It matches the Rfam family "Bacterial small subunit ribosomal RNA", at positions 1 to 383 of the family's 1533-position model. Lineage: Bacteria; Pseudomonadati; Pseudomonadota; Gammaproteobacteria; Enterobacterales; Enterobacteriaceae. RNAcentral also lists the same sequence under 1 other name. The record is from RNAcentral.
AAAUUGAAGAGUUUGAUCAUGGCUCAGAUUGAACGCUGGCGGCAGGCCUAACACAUGCAAGUCGAACGGUAACAGGAAGCAGCUUGCUGCUUUGCUGACGAGUGGCGGACGGGUGAGUAAUGUCUGGGAAACUGCCUGAUGGAGGGGGAUAACUACUGGAAACGGUGGCUAAUACCGCAUAACGUCGCAAGACCAAAGAGGGGGACCUUCGGGCCUCUUGCCAUCAGAUGUGCCCAGAUGGGAUUAGCUAGUUGGUGAGGUAACGGCUCACCAAGGCGACGAUCCCUAGCUGGUCUGAGAGGAUGACCAGCCACACUGGAACUGAGACACGGUCCAGACUCCUACGGGAGGCAGCAGUGGGGAAUAUUGCACAAUGGGCGCAAGCC